GAUGAACGCUGGCCGCGUGCCUAAUACAUGCAAGUCGAGCGAACGGACGAGAAGCUUGCUUCUCUGAUGUUAGCGGCGGACGGGUGAGUAACACGUGGAUAACCUACCUAUAAGACUGGGAUAACUUCGGGAAACCGUAGCUAAUACCGGAUAAUAUUUUGAACCGCAUGGUUCAAAAGUGAAAGACGGUCUUGCUGUCACUUAUAGAUGGAUCCGCGCUGCAUUAGCUAGUUGGUAAGGUAACGGCUUACCAAGGCAACGAUGCAUAGCCGACCUGAGAGGGUGAUCGGCCACACUGGAACUGAGACACGGUCCAGACUCCUACGGGAGGCAGCAGUAGGGAAUCUUCCGCAAUGGGCGAAAGCCUGACGGAGCAACGCCGCGUGAGUGAUGAAGGUCUUCGGAUCGUAAAACUCUGUUAUUAGGGAAGAACAUAUGUGUAAGUAACUGUGCACAUCUUGACGGUACCUAAUCAGAAAGCCACGGCUAACUACGUG
RNAcentral lists this ribosomal RNA (497 nucleotides) under uncultured bacterium. Its description in RNAcentral is "partial 16S ribosomal RNA". It matches the Rfam family "Bacterial small subunit ribosomal RNA", at positions 28 to 507 of the family's 1533-position model. The record is from RNAcentral.